Molecule: transfer RNA, 69 nt
Filed under: Allophryne ruthveni (Tukeit Hill frog)
Lineage: Eukaryota; Metazoa; Chordata; Amphibia; Anura; Allophrynidae
Description: tRNA-Val
Rfam family: tRNA
About the family: Transfer RNA (tRNA) molecules are approximately 80 nucleotides in length.
Source: RNAcentral
CGAAACGUAGCUUAACAAAAGCAUCUCGCUUACACCGAGACAAUAUCUGUGAAACCCAGGUCGCUUCGA